UGGCUCAGGACGAACGCUGGCGGCGUGCCUAAUACAUGCAAGUCGAACGCUUCUUUUUCCACCGGAGCUUGCUCCACCGGAAAAAGAGGAGUGGCGAACGGGUGAGUAACACGUGGGUAACCUGCCCAUCAGAAGGGGAUAACACUUGGAAACAGGUGCUAAUACCGUAUAACAAUCGAAACCGCAUGGUUUUGAUUUGAAAGGCGCUUUCGGGUGUCGCUGAUGGAUGGACCCGCGGUGCAUUAGCUAGUUGGUGAGGUAACGGCUCACCAAGGCCACGAUGCAUAGCCGACCUGAGAGGGUGAUCGGCCACAUUGGGACUGAGACACGGCCCAAACUCCUACGGGAGGCAGCAGUAGGGAAUCUUCGGCAAUGGACGAAAGUCUGACCGAGCAACGCCGCGUGAGUGAAGAAGGUUUUCGGAUCGUAAAACUCUGUUGUUAGAGAAGAACAAGGAUGAGAGUAACUGUUCAUCCCUUGACGGUAUCUAACCAGAAAGCCACGGCUAACUACGUGCCAGCAGCCGCGGUAAUACGUAGGUGGCAAGCGUUGUCCGGAUUUAUUGGGCGUAAAGCGAGCGCAGGCGGUUUCUUAAGUCUGAUGUGAAAGCCCCCGGCUCAACCGGGGAGGGUCAUUGGAAACUGGGAGACUUGAGUGCAGAAGAGGAGAGUGGAAUUCCAUGUGUAGCGGUGAAAUGCGUAGAUAUAUGGAGGAACACCAGUGGCGAAGGCGGCUCUCUGGUCUGUAACUGACGCUGAGGCUCGAAAGCGUGGGGAGCAACAGGAUUAGAUACCCUGGUAGUCCACGCCGUAAACGAUGAGUGCUAAGUGUUGGAGGGUUUCCGCCCUUCAGUGCUGCAGCUAACGCAUUAAGCACUCCGCCUGGGGAGUACGACCGCAAGGUUGAAACUCAAAGGAAUUGACGGGGGCCCGCACAAGCGGUGGAGCAUGUGGUUUAAUUCGAAGCAACGCGAAGAACCUUACCAGGUCUUGACAUCCUUUGACCACUCUAGAGAUAGAGCUUCCCCUUCGGGGGCAAAGUGACAGGUGGUGCAUGGUUGUCGUCAGCUCGUGUCGUGAGAUGUUGGGUUAAGUCCCGCAACGAGCGCAACCCUUAUUGUUAGUUGCCAUCAUUCAGUUGGGCACUCUAGCAAGACUGCCGGUGACAAACCGGAGGAAGGUGGGGAUGACGUCAAAUCAUCAUGCCCCUUAUGACCUGGGCUACACACGUGCUACAAUGGGAAGUACAACGAGUCGCGAAGUCGCGAGGCUAAGCUAAUCUCUUAAAGCUUCUCUCAGUUCGGAUUGCAGGCUGCAACUCGCCUGCAUGAAGCCGGAAUCGCUAGUAAUCGCGGAUCAGCACGCCGCGGUGAAUACGUUCCCGGGCCUUGUACACACCGCCCGUCACACCACGAGAGUUUGUAACACCCGAAGUCGGUGAGGUAACCUUUUGGAGCCAGCCGCCUAAGGUGGGAUAGAUGAUUGGGGUGAAGUCGUAACAAGGU
Molecule: ribosomal RNA, 1504 nt
Filed under: uncultured bacterium
Lineage: Bacteria
Description: 16S ribosomal RNA
Rfam family: Bacterial small subunit ribosomal RNA
Source: RNAcentral